AGGGGUGUAGCUCAGUUGGUAGAGCAGCGGAUUCCAAAUCCGCCGGUCGCGGGUUCGAAUCCUGCCGCCCCUGCCA
Molecule: transfer RNA, 76 nt
Filed under: Gemmatimonadota bacterium
Lineage: Bacteria; Pseudomonadati; Gemmatimonadota
Description: Gemmatimonadetes bacterium (marine metagenome) tRNA-Trp
Rfam family: tRNA
About the family: Transfer RNA (tRNA) molecules are approximately 80 nucleotides in length. Their secondary structure includes four short double-helical elements and three loops (D, anti-codon, and T loops). Further hydrogen bonds mediate the characteristic L-shaped molecular structure. tRNAs have two regions of fundamental functional importance: the anti-codon, which is responsible for specific mRNA codon recognition, and the 3' end, to which the tRNAs corresponding amino acid is attached (by aminoacyl-tRNA synthetases). tRNAs cope with the degeneracy of the genetic code in two manners: having more than one tRNA (with a specific anti-codon) for a particular amino acid; and 'wobble' base-pairing, i.e. permitting non-standard base-pairing at the 3rd anti-codon position.
Source: RNAcentral